Molecule: long non-coding RNA, 1087 nt
Filed under: Ananas comosus (pineapple)
Lineage: Eukaryota; Viridiplantae; Streptophyta; Magnoliopsida; Poales; Bromeliaceae
Description: long non-coding RNA (ACOM_LNC036607)
Source: RNAcentral
AUCCGGAUAUUUUACCGUUUCAAUGGCCGCAACCUUAGGACGAAAUCGUUCGGGAAGGGUUCUCAAAAUUUUUCUAACAAUUUUGGAAUCCGGAAUCUUCUCGCCUAAGUUAGCACACGUAUUUACAAUGUCUUGCAAACGAGUAUAAUACUCGGUAAAAGAUUCAUGUUUUUCCAUACGAAUAGAAUCAAAUCUACUAGUAAGCAUUUGUAAUUUUUGAAUCUUUACCAAGCUUGUACCCCCUCGUGUGUAACUUGUAAAGUGUCCCAAAUUUCUUUGGCGGUUUCACACGCCGAGACACGAGAAAAUUCAGUUUGAUUUAAAGCAUUAAAUAAAGCAUUGAUACCCUUUCCGUUGAACGAAGAUAGUUCAUUUUCCUCUUUCGUCCAUUUAUUUCUAGGUUUCGGACCGGUAACAUUCUCGACAACUUCGGUGGGAUGUUUUCACCCGAAUUCAAUAACUUGCCAUACCCACUCAUCGAUGGUAAUGAGAAGCGCCCUCAUACGGACUUUCCAAUAAGCGUAAUUAGUGCCAUCGAAGAGAGGGGGUCGAUUGAUGUUACCGCCCUCGGCCAUGAUUUACAACCUAUACCCGCUCUGAUACCACUUGUAAGAUAUGGAUCCCGAGGAUCUAAAAGGUAAAUAACACCUAGAGGGGGGUGAAUAGGUGUAAAACGGCAAAAAUAAAAACUCUCGAUGCAAAUAAAAGAGAUAGCGGAAAAUAAAAAUAGCACACCGAGAUUUUAACGUGGAAAAACUCCAAUCCGGAGUGAAAAACCCACGGGACCGAUCACGCGAAGAAAAUCCACUAAGAAAACUUGAGUACAAGUGAUUUUAACCAAAAUACAUGACUCAAUUUACCGAAUUUCCGUUGUUGAUGGUCUUCACCGGUCCUUGAUCGAUAGGAAUCCUCCAAUCGACCUCGCCGCAACUCCUUGCUACGUCAACGCCUCAACUCCUCGAAGCGUCCACCGAAUCCUCGGCUUCACGCGAGUCCACGCGCCGAACCUCCUUCCGGAGUUUGUAGAAUUGAUGAUUUGUGGUGAUUAAGACUUAGAAUACCAUAAGCAAUGAGGGUUCACCUUCUA